CGUACAGUUAACUAGUCCAACGCUCUAACCAUUGCACUCCACGAGGAGCCUGCCUGUUAUGUGAAUGCAGUCGAAGCCAAGGACCUGAGCCCUAGGACCAUGUCCCAGGACUACCUGACAUGAGGACUCCUUGCUGUCCCCAGUCCACCUGGCCAUGCUCCUGCUCCAGUUUCAACUGACCUGAGCCCUAGGACCGUGCCCCAGGACUACCUGACAUGAAGGCUCCUUGCUGUCCCCAGUCCACCUGACUGUGCUGCUGCUCCAGUUUCAACUGUUCUGCCUUAUUAUUAUUCGACCAUGCUGGUCAUUUAUGAACAUUUGAACAUCUUGGUCAUGUUCUGUUAUAAUCUCUACCCGGCACAGCCAGAAGAGGACUGGCCACCCCACAUAGCCCGGUUCCUCUCUAGGUUUCUUCCUAGGUUUUGGCCUUUCUAGGGAGUUUUUCCUAGCCACUGUGCUUUUACACCUGCAUUGUUUGCUGUUUGGGGUUUUAGGCUGGGUUUCUGUACAGCACUUUGAGAUAUCAGCUGAUGUACGAAGGGCUAUAUAAAUAAAUUUGAUUUGAUUUGAUUUGAGGUAGCCUAGUGGUUACAGCGUGGUGCCAGUAACCGAAAGGUUGAUAGAUUGAAUACUGAGCUGACAAGGUAAAAAUCUGCCGUUCUGCCCCUGAACAAGGCAGUUCCUAGGCCGUCAUUGUAAAUAAGAAUUUGUUCUUAACUGAUUUGCCUGGUUACAUUUUUAAAAUUGUGGACAGCUUGAUGAAAACCAGUCAAUAUUCAGGUCCCCAAGAAAGUAGACCCCUCCGUUUUGUUGGAUUCUAGCUUAUUAGCUUAUUUGUACAAUUUUUGUAGAAUAAUAGCGAAGACAUCAAAACUAUGAAAUAACACCUAUAUUAACAAAUCAAAAUAUAUUUUAUAUUUGAGAUUCUUCAAAGUAGCCACCCUUUGCCUUGAUGACAGCUUUGCACCCUAAAUAUAGAUUUGAUUUGUUUAACACUUUUUGAUUCCAUGAUUCCAUAUGUGUUAUUUCAAUGUAGAAAAUAGUUUUAAAAAAUAAAGAAUAACCCUGGAAUUAG
This is a long non-coding RNA of Oncorhynchus keta (chum salmon), 1075 nucleotides long. RefSeq lists it as uncharacterized. NCBI's taxonomy places the organism in Eukaryota, Metazoa, Chordata, Actinopteri, Salmoniformes, Salmonidae. The transcript has 2 exons. The record is from RefSeq and is a predicted model, not a curated record.